UUUUUUUUUCUUUUUUACAGAAGAGUGUCUGUUUUCUUCUCAGAUUGUGUACACCAAGUUGACAAGGCUUAUUUAGAAUGCAUAGCGGGGUGGAUGUGAUGUUGAAAUAACAGAUGUUCCAGUAGUUGAACUAGGCAUCCAAAGGGAUAAAAUCAAAACCUACUUGUCAAAUGGAACUCACUUCAAAUAUGGUAGCUGGAUAAAAUGUAACCCUGCUGCCGGUCUUUCUCUGGCCCUGGCUUUACAAUCCUAUUAAAGCCUGAGAAAAAAAAAAAAAAUCACUUGAUGCCCAAUGUCUACAAAUGAUUAAGACAUCCAUCCUGCUGCAACUGUUCAUCUAACUUAACACUUCUGCUGUCAUGCUGAUCAGCUCUGUGCCAGUGCUUUCCUUUCUGUCCCAUCUGCCCCUAGAGCACCUGCUCAGAGAAUGCACUUGGCAGCACUUUGACAUUUCUAGAAAUUGGUCAAAACUAUUGGGGAUGACCUUGCCAGCAGAUACAAGGCUAAUAAGAGCAAGGCUGUGCAUCUAAAUGGCUGCAAUAAUAUUUGUAACAUUUUUCCAAGGGUGCAGGUCCAGGAUUGGCACUUACUGAAUGCUCAUUUGUUGUGAUAAUUUUAGAACUAUCGCUUCCCCAUUUGUAAGUGAAGCAUCUUUUUCAUAUAAUGAAAUGCAUUGUUUGGGUUUGGCUUUGAUACUUCAGGAAAAAUAAAGAAAUUCACAUAUUUAAUAUAACAGCUGAAGUGUUUUUCAAGGGAACUCAGAUAUUUCUACAUUUCAGCAGUGUUAAUUCAAUUAGCCUGAAACUAACUCAAAUAAAGCAUUGUUGUCCACAAUGGUGGAAAUUCUAGGAUUUUCUUUUUAAAGCAUUUUUAUCUCCAUAAAGACUUAAUGUGAAAAGCUAACUUAAAUAUUCCUCCAGCAGUUUACAGACCCUCAUCCAAUCCCCACUGAAGUUAAAAGAGCCAUUUCAAUUACUCCUCCAGUAGGAACAAUUUAUUAUGACAGUGUCUCAGUCCUCAUUGACCCCUGUUUAAUUUAUCUUUAGCAACUACCCCCCUAGUCCCACUCUGUGAAACUACUACUGAACCAAUUUCUCUCUCUUCACCUAUUUUUUACCUAUUUCAUGAUUUAUUCUCUUAAAACGGCUUCAUGUUGGCUUUUUCUGUAUCCCAACAAUUGAUUCCAGCUCAGUUUGCCAAGACAUAAUCCUAAAGUUGAUUGGAUUUUCAGUCCUCCCAGAUCUCCUUCACCCACAAUUUGAAGUCUGCUAUAGUCUGCAAGGAAAAUAUUAAGAUUUUAAGUUGCUGGGAAAUGAAGUAGAAAUAUGCAUGCAGCUAGGGAACAGUACUGGAACACUGGGAGCUUUUUUCUCUUGCAUUUUUGCUUUAUGGAUGGCAGAAAUAAUGUAAAAGCCAAAGGUGUAAUUUGCACCUUGAAAAGCAGCUGCCAAGCAUUUUUGUUGACAGUAUCACUAGGUGCAGGAUGUGAGGAAAGAAGAGGUACAGUAUUUCUUGACUGACAAAUGGUAUUGUUCAAUUUAAAAUUAACUAAGGACUACCAAAGAAAAUGCUUUAGCAUGAUGACUUAGUAAUCAUCUAAACCCUCUGGUGAAUUAGGUGUAACGAAUGAGACUCAGCUCUAACUCAGCUACAAACUGGAGGGAGUUAUAGUGGAUAGAAGCCUAUUAUGACCAAUAUUAACUAAGAAUUUUAUAUCCUCAAAGUCCUCAGUAAACAACUGAUAGUGUUGGAGUUGCCCAUAAAUCUGUUUCAAUAAUUUAAUGGAUAUCACUCUCAGUGUAAUCUGCUGUACACAAGCACUGUGCUUACUUUGAGAACACUGCAGGUUCACACUCAGUGCUCCUGCUGAAGACUUUUACAGAGGCCACAGUGAUAGGUAUAACAGCACUGCCAGUCUCUGUGUGGUGGUUUAAGAACAGCUGUCAGGAGUCAAACAAAAGAUCUGGUGGCCAAACUCUGUCAACACCCAGAAACAGAGGCCAAGAGAAGAGUCCAAUGGCAGGUCAAGUACAUAGUGAUGAUUCCCCAGCCUCCUUUCCAGCAUACAGCAGUCUGCAGCUCAGCAACCUCCUUUCCAGAAGAGGGAUCUAUGUGUUAAAUAGUCCUUGUGGGAUUUCUUUCCUUUUCCCACAAGUUUGUCUACUCAAGUUAGAGGCUACGUAAACCUUUUGGCAUCCAGCGCUGACACAGAACUGUGUGUUCCACAGCUUUCCUAGCAAGGGAUAAAAAAAUUUCAUCUUCUCCUUGAUUGAAAUUAUCAAUCAGUCAUUUAACUUGGUGGUUUCUACUUAUAAUGUGGAAAGGCAGUGAGCAGCCAUUUCCUGCUUACUUUAAUCAUUGCUUCACAGACACACAUCCUGUCUACGCUCAUUGAUCUCUUUUUCCAAGCUGAUGAGUCCUAGACCAUUUGUUCUUGAUGUUAAAGCUUUUCCACAUAUUUGAUAAUGAUUGCUGUGCUCCUAUGAUUCUUUAUUUUUAAUAACACAUCCUCUUGAGAUGGGACAUCCAAAACUACAUGACCUCCUCUGUACAUGUAUUGUGCACUAAACUGUACAAAAAUUACAAUUUUUCUUGUUCUUCAUUUCCUUACAUUUUGUUUGGUUUUGACAGCACUCAGGCUAUGAAACUCUUGCCUUUAGUUGGAGCCUUGCUAUUUUUACAGUGACACUAAACGAUGAUGCAUUUUUAAUAAUUUUAUUUAUUUUGACUAACUGGCAUUAAAAUAACAAGAAAAUAAUUUCAUUUCCAAUUGACUCUUGACUUUGCUCUCUGACCUUCUUCUUGUCCCCAAGUCUCUGACAUAAAUUGCCCUGUAUUUAUUCUCAUUUUGACUUCAAGUAGCCAAGAGAUUGCCAUUCCAAAUAAAGAAUGUGUUCUUUUCACUGUGUGGCUCAAACAUUUUUGUUUUCUCAUUUCAAAAGUUCACAAUAGCAGUAAUUGGUCAAGGAUCUUUUCAAAAUACAACAUUUUAAAUUGACACUUGAAAUAAUACAUUGGAGGGAUAAAGAUAUGAAAAUAACAAGCACCUAAUUAGUCUCAAUAUUUUGUGCUUCACAAGGUAAAUUGUGUUGUACAUCCCCAAGAUUUUAGCUAGGAAGAACUUUUUUGUUCAGCAGGGUUUGGCUGAUAGAGACUCUGCUCAUAGACUGUAUGAAUCUAUUCAGUGUUUGAAUAAAUUAUUAAAACCAUUUCAAGGCAGGAUUAAAUUAUAGCAAAAUAAACAUAUCAAUUUGUAUUCUUGCACAUUUGUAUUCUUGUCCAAAUGUAUUAUUGUACAUUUACACUCUGAGGAGCCUUUUGCUUCAAAACCAUACUUAUCUCUCAGAUCAAGAACAAACACAAAUUCUGUGGAUCAAAGAGGCUCGGUACAAUGCCCUCUGAUGUGUCAUUAACCAAAUGAAAACAUCUAACAACAGAUGUGGAUUUUGAAUGAUGUUCAGGUGAGCCCCACUAGAGUUCAAACCUGAAUAUUAUCUGUAUGUUAAAGACAACAUAGCCUAAUUGCCUCACUGUGUUUCUCACCUCUGAGCAGGAGAAGGGACUCCUCAGUCCUCAGAACAAAGUGCUGAUGCACGGCAGCAAGGCUUUAAAGCUGGUGAUGAAUUUUACAAUAGUACCAUCUGUUCCUCUGGUGAGAAAGGUUCUGUCCAACUCACAGAGAAUGGCAAGCUUUGGUUUAAAAAUAACUGAUGACAGGUGAGGAGAUGCUUAACCAUCCACUCUUCUUGGUUCCCUCUGGAAGGGGAAUUUGAGUAUUCAGACUAUGACAUUUCUAAGUUCAGUUUCAUUAGUGACAUGAUGUGUUUCUAUUUUCAAAAAGUGGUAUGAAGGAUGCAGUGCAGCACAGGCCCAUCUUAUGUAGAACAUCUCACCUUCUUCAUCCAUAAAUGACUUAGCCAGUGCUCUGAAUUUGAAAGACGCUCAUAUGAAUUAAAAAUUUAUACUUGCUUCUGCCAACAAAUAUUCAACACUUCUUUUCAGUAUUGAAGCAUUAUAAAUACCUUUGGUAAAGAUACAAAUAAAAGUAGAAAAAUCCUUUAAAAUAGAUUAUUAAAUUUAAAUAUUUGAAUGUAAACCCAGAGCCACACUACUUCAACUUCCAUUUCCUUGUCUGAUAUCAGGCAUCUCUGAGCAGCUCUGGUAUUGAUGCAGCUAUCUUCACUGGUCAACCAAAUGGCCAUUGUUUUUUGAUGAAACAGGAAGAAUAAAUCAAUAUCUUUCCAGCUGGGGGAAAGAACUUUCCUUCUGGGAAGGUUCCAUCUUUCCCAGAAGUGGAUCUUUUCUUGCACAGACUUGGCAUUGGUUUUCCAUUCCUCUAUAAGAAUUACAAGAGUGAAGUAGAGUGGAAAACAUCAGAUCACCAAGGUCAUGUGAUGAAUGAGGCUAUUAGAGCAAUUAGAUGAGUUUUAUCUGUUUUGCUUGGUAAAAUAAAAUUUUAAGUAGGCUCAUCUAUCUCACCACACCUGAUUACUCUGGAGGUCAAACUUGCAGAAAACAUUUAGAAUGGUAACAGCAGAAAAAUUACACAUAUGGGCAUCAGAUUACUUAUAAACACAUUUUGCCUAGCCUGUGGAAGGGAAGACUGCAAAACCCUGCAGUUAGGGUAGGAUUUGCUUGACCUAAGAAAAUCUAUCAUAUGUUUGGGAGUUUAGUUUAAGCCAACUCUUCAGGCGUAUCCUGUAACCAAGGAAAAGAGCCAGACCCUUCCAAUAAGAAUAAUUUCCUCAUAAAACAAGGGUCUAAAAUAGGUGAGAAGAAUCCGUCUCUGCAGAUUUCUCUCUCUCUUCAUUGCCCAUAGCACAAGCACAGAUGUUGAGCUCACACACAACACCUAACAUUUGUUGGAUGAAAUUAUCCCACUCCCAGUGACUGAGCAAUGGCACUUAGCAUUUCAUGCUGGUGGUGUCAAGUGAUUCACACUGGAGGACACAACUGGAAUUACAUCAAAUGAGUUCUGC
Molecule: long non-coding RNA, 4979 nt
Organism: Taeniopygia guttata (zebra finch)
Lineage: Eukaryota; Metazoa; Chordata; Aves; Passeriformes; Estrildidae
Source: Ensembl